RNAcentral lists this ribosomal RNA (253 nucleotides) under uncultured bacterium. RNAcentral describes it as "partial 16S ribosomal RNA". It matches the Rfam family "Bacterial small subunit ribosomal RNA", at positions 524 to 776 of the family's 1533-position model. The record is from RNAcentral.
UACAGAGGGGGCAAGCGUUGUUCGGAAUUACUGGGCGUAAAGGGCUCGUAGGCGGCCAACUAAGUCGGAUGUGAAAUCCCCAAGCUUAACUUGGGAACUGCAUCCGAUACUGGAUGGCUUGAAUCCGGGAGAGGGAUGCAGAAUUCCAGGUGUAGCGGUGAAAUGCGUAGAUAUCUAGAGGAACACCGGUGGCGAAGGCGGCAUCCUGGACCGGUAUUGACACUGAGGCGCGAAAGCCAGGGGAGCAAACGGG